UAGGGCGCGUUAAUGAUAGUGUAGCACGAGUUCCUGUGGUCGAGUUGAUAAUUGUUUGGGGCGAAAUGACCGGCCCCUUGACUACGACCUCGACCGUCAACUAUGGGGCCGGUGGAUCUCGCGCGUACACUGUAAACAAGUGUAUAAAAGAUUGGUAACUGGGACUCCCUGGCAUGCCACGCUGCAAACUGGUGCAGAUACAAUAGAAUCCACAUUUUCUGAAUGAUGUCAGAUAUAUAUUCCACACAACUACUGAAGAUGAUGUGUGUGGCUGAACAUCAACAGUCGUCGCCAGCUUGAAUAAGCACUUUGACACCGCGCUACAGGAAGCUGGACCUCAUGAACAAAGAUGAAGCGAAAUCUUCCAAGAGGAACAGCAGCAUACUGUUGCCUGAGUCUGGGCUUUACCAUGCUGAGCAGAAGUUUUGGAUUUUAUUAUUUGAAAGUUUUUCUCAAUCUUUACAAUGUGAAGGAGAACUGGUUUCAUCUGUCUCAAGUUCUCUUCAUGAUUUGGAAUGCCAUCAAUGAUCCACUUUUUGCACUUUUGCAGGACAACACAAAUUCUUUUUUGACAAGGACACGACGGGAGGGCAUUUUCUUCACAGCACCUCUUUUUGCUAUGUCCUACAUGAUUGCAUGGCUGCCCUUUGGACAGAGUGACUGGGCAGUAGGCAUUCAUUUGAUUGCUGCUCUCUGCAUUUAUGAUACCCUGUACACAUUUAUUGGACUUCUGUCCUGUUGUCUAUUUACUGAACUGAAUGUUUGCCAAACUGACAGACUUCUUCUUACAAGAUAUUCAACUAUAACAAGUCUCAUAGGAUCCCAGAGCAUCUUUUUGCUUGAAUUUUCUUCAGACAGUUUGAGAGAUUUUACAGCAUUUCAGGCUACUUCGCUUGGUAUUUCUGUUGUGGCAAGCUUGCUGAUGAUGUAUGCUGGACUUCAUGCUCACACAACGUAUGAUAUUGAAGCUAAAGUUACAUUCCCUGCAGAGGAAACCUGCAAAGACCCUGGUACAGAGAAUCAAGAGUCAUUCUUCAGAAACACUGUGCAAAUUCUACGAGAAAAGAAUUUUAUUGCUUUUGUUGUCACCAACUUUUUUCAAGAAUUCCAUAAGGCAUACCUGUCAGGUUUCACAGCCAUCUUUUGUGACCAUCUUAUCCCAAAGUCUCAAGUUCCUGUGAGUGUCCGAAGCAUUUUUUACGGAUUGACAGGCACGUUAGGAGGGGAGCUUUGCAAUUGCAACCUUUUCCUUGUUUAACCUACCGCUGGCGGACAUUGCUGACCAUGACAAAGAAAAGUAUAACCGCAGGAGAGUUGUUAACGACCUCGCCGCCAUAGCAGUCGUGACUGUUACUUGAAGGUCAGAUUGGUUAUGUCUUUGUCAGUCAUGGCUGAAGAAAAGUAUGAAAUGAAGACUGCACCUUUUGACUCACGUUUUCCUAAU
Molecule: unclassified non-coding RNA, 1444 nt
Filed under: Pomacea canaliculata
Lineage: Eukaryota; Metazoa; Mollusca; Gastropoda; Architaenioglossa; Ampullariidae
Description: cytochrome c oxidase subunit 6B1-like, transcript variant X19
Source: RNAcentral